GAUGAACGCUGGCGGCGUGCCUAAUACAUGCAAGUCGAGCGAACAGACGAGGAGCUUGCUCCUCUGACGUUAGCGGCGGACGGGUGAGUAACACGUGGAUAACCUACCUAUAAGACUGGGAUAACUUCGGGAAACCGGAGCUAAUACCGGAUAAUAUAUUGAACCGCAUGGUUCAAUAGUGAAAGACGGUUUUGCUGUCACUUAUAGAUGGAUCCGCGCCGCAUUAGCUAGUUGGUAAGGUAACGGCUUACCAAGGCAACGAUGCGUAGCCGACCGGAGAGGGUGAUCGGCCACACUGGAACGGAGACCCGGUCCAGACUCCUACGGGAGGCAGCAGUAGGGAAUCUUCCGCAAUGGGCGAAAGCCUGACGGAGCAACGCCGCGUGAGUGAUGAAGGUCUUCGGAUCGUAAAACUCUGUUAUUAGGGAAGAACAAAUGUGUAAGUAACUAUGCACGUGUUGACGGUACCUAAUCAGAAAGCCACGGCUAACUACGUGC
This 498-nucleotide ribosomal RNA is filed under the name uncultured bacterium. Its description in RNAcentral is "partial 16S ribosomal RNA". It matches the Rfam family "Bacterial small subunit ribosomal RNA", at positions 28 to 508 of the family's 1533-position model. The record is from RNAcentral.